GCUUUGUAGUGUAACGGUAGCACACUCGGCGCAUAUUCGAGAGGUCUAGGUUCGAGUCCUGGUGAGAGCA
This 70-nucleotide transfer RNA is filed under the name Stegodyphus mimosarum. It matches the Rfam family "tRNA". From Rfam's summary of the family: Transfer RNA (tRNA) molecules are approximately 80 nucleotides in length. Their secondary structure includes four short double-helical elements and three loops (D, anti-codon, and T loops). Lineage: Eukaryota; Metazoa; Arthropoda; Arachnida; Araneae; Eresidae. The record is from Rfam by way of RNAcentral.